UACGUAGGUGACAAGCGUUGUCCGGAUUUACUGGGCGUAAAGCGCACGUAGGCGGAUUGUUAAGUCAGGGGUGAAAUCCUGGAGCUCAACUCCAGAACUGCCUUUGAUACUGGCGAUCUCGAGUCCGGGAGAGGUGAGUGGAACUGCGAGUGUAGAGGUGAAAUUCGUAGAUAUUCGCAAGAACACCAGUGGCGAAGGCGGCUCACUGGCCCGGUACUGACGCUGAGGUGCGAAAGCGUGGGGAGCAAACAGG
Molecule: ribosomal RNA, 253 nt
Filed under: uncultured bacterium
Lineage: Bacteria
Description: partial 16S ribosomal RNA
Rfam family: Bacterial small subunit ribosomal RNA
Source: RNAcentral